UACAGAGGGGGCAAGCGUUGUUCGGAAUUACUGGGCGUAAAGGGCGCGUAGGCGGCCUUCUAAGUCCAACGUGAAAUCCCCGGGCUCAACCCGGGAACUGCGUCCGAUACUGGAAGGCUUGAGUCCGGGAGAGGGAUGCGGAAUUCCAGGUGUAGCGGUGAAAUGCGUAGAUAUCUGGAGGAACACCGGUGGCGAAGGCGGCAUCCUGGACCGGUAUUGACGCUGAGGCGCGAAAGCCAGGGGAGCAAACGGG
RNAcentral lists this ribosomal RNA (253 nucleotides) under uncultured bacterium. RNAcentral describes it as "partial 16S ribosomal RNA". It matches the Rfam family "Bacterial small subunit ribosomal RNA", at positions 524 to 776 of the family's 1533-position model. The record is from RNAcentral.